CGUGCAGGGGCUGCUGCCACGGUCUCGGGAAAGUCCGUCUGAUUGUGCACGCAUUCUUGAGGGCUUGGUCACCGCUGCGGCCCGCUCCGGUAGCAGCAUAGUUUUCCAAAACAAAGACUGUUACAGUCCAGCUGUGUUUCUGCAAGGUAUGAGAAAGCAAUGCUGGCCUCCAGAUGACGAGAACAGACACUUCGGAUCCUGGGAAAAGCUUAGGGAACCCACUGAUGAAUGGAUUAUAAUGGAUUGUACAUUCACACGCCCAAAUUGCAGCAAGGAAACUGAACAAGCUAACAAGUUUCUUUGUGCCCGUCAACCUGUUGAUCUCCCUGUUCCUAACCCUGUCCAGAAGUGUGGAAGCUCAAAAUGUUCUAAUGUCCAGAUCAGAAAGUGGGGUUGGUAUGAUACUGAUGGCAAAUGUCUCCAACAUCACAAGUCCUGCGAAGAGCCCUGGAUCUGGUUGAAACUUCCUGUAGGAUGAGAAGCACUGAGAGAGAAC
This 496-nucleotide long non-coding RNA is filed under the name Cricetulus griseus (Chinese hamster). RNAcentral's name for it is "lncRNA (ENSCGRG00000024769.1)". Lineage: Eukaryota; Metazoa; Chordata; Mammalia; Rodentia; Cricetidae. The record is from RNAcentral.